This is a small nuclear RNA of Erinaceus europaeus (western European hedgehog), 112 nucleotides long. NCBI's taxonomy places the organism in Eukaryota, Metazoa, Chordata, Mammalia, Eulipotyphla, Erinaceidae. The record is from Ensembl.
GGAUUAUGCUCACUUUGGCAGUCCAUAUACUAAAAUUGGAGUGAUACAGAGAUUAUUAGCAUGGCCCCUGCACAAGGAUGACACACAAAUUCGUGAAACGGUCCAUAUUUUA